This 471-nucleotide ribosomal RNA is filed under the name Megasphaera geminata. RNAcentral describes it as "bacterial SSU rRNA". It matches the Rfam family "Bacterial small subunit ribosomal RNA", at positions 28 to 475 of the family's 1533-position model. The record is from RNAcentral. Lineage: Bacteria; Bacillati; Bacillota; Negativicutes; Veillonellales; Veillonellaceae.
GACGAACGCUGGCGGCGUGCGUAACACAUGCAAGUCGAACGAGAGAGUGAGAGAAGCUUGCUUUUCUUAUGAUCGAGUGGCAAACGGGUGAGUAACGCGUAAACAACCUGCCCCGCAGAUGGGGACAACAGCUGGAAACGGCUGCUAAUACCGAAUACGGUCCUCUUAGCGCAUGGUAAGAGGAAGAAAGGGUGGCCUCUGGAACAAGCUACCGCUGUGGGAGGGGUUUGCGUCUGAUUAGCUGGUUGGAGGGGUAACGGCCCACCAAGGCGACGAUCAGUAGCCGGUCUGAGAGGAUGAACGGCCACAUUGGAACUGAGACACGGUCCAGACUCCUACGGGAGGCAGCAGUGGGGAAUCUUCCGCAAUGGGCGAAAGCCUGACGGAGCAACGCCGCGUGAGUGAAGACGGCCUUCGGGUUGUAAAGCUCUGUUAUAGGGGACGAACGGCCGGGUAGCGAAGAGGUACCCG